This 624-nucleotide ribosomal RNA is filed under the name Triticum aestivum (bread wheat). Its description in RNAcentral is "partial small subunit ribosomal RNA". The record is from RNAcentral. Lineage: Eukaryota; Viridiplantae; Streptophyta; Magnoliopsida; Poales; Poaceae.
AUGACCGGUGAUAAAAAAUGGUUCUCCUCCCUCACACGUGCAUCUCGGGCUGAGAGUGUAACUUUUGGAGAUGCUUCUACUUCUACUGUUGUAGCGAAAGGUACAGUAAAGGUAACCGACAAAUUUAUGUUCAAAGAUGUUGCUUUGGUUGAAAAUCUGAAAUACAACUUGUUGUCGGUUUCACAAAUGAUUGAUGAGGAUCUUGAAGUUUCAUUUAAGAAAAAUGCUUGCAAAGUUUUAGAUGCUUCAGGUGAUCUUGUCUUUGAGAUAUCACGCUUUGGGAGAGUUUUUAAGGCUGAUUUUCAUGCUUCUUCAAAUGUUAAGUUUAGGUGUCUAGUUGCCAAUACAUCUACAGAUUUAUUCUUUUGGCAUCGUAGACUUGGGCAUAUUGGUUUUGAUCAUCUCACUCGUAUAAGUGGUAUGAAUCUUAUAAAUGGUUUGCCUAAACUUAAGAGAGAAAAAGAUAUUGUAUGCUCUCCUUGUAGACAUGGUAAGAUGGUUGCAGGUUCACAUGCACGCAUUACCAGUGUCAUGACUAACGCUCCAGGACAGCUUCUACAUCUUGAUACGGUUGGUCCAUCAAGGGUACAAUCUUUUGGGGGGGGAGGAAAUCUUUGUAGAUGA